This 65-nucleotide transfer RNA is filed under the name Dipodomys ordii (Ord's kangaroo rat). It matches the Rfam family "tRNA". Rfam says of the family: Transfer RNA (tRNA) molecules are approximately 80 nucleotides in length. Their secondary structure includes four short double-helical elements and three loops (D, anti-codon, and T loops). Lineage: Eukaryota; Metazoa; Chordata; Mammalia; Rodentia; Heteromyidae. The record is from Rfam by way of RNAcentral.
GGUGGCUCAUUGGUACAGUGCUUGCUUUGCAUGCAUGAGGCCCUAGGUUUGAUUCCUAGGCACCA